UAGAAACCUUCACCUCUGGCCAUUAAGGUUUAUAGUGGGGACCAAUUCUUAGCCACAACUAACCUGCCAACUUUCUUUUCUAGAAGAGGGCUGGAUACUACUUCCCAGCAGAGUCUGGAAGAGUCCCUUCUCUGGAAACAGUGGUACUACUAUGAAAAGAGGCCUGGGCUCUGGUAGCAGUUUCCUAUAAGACCUAGAUCAAGUCCCUUCCCUUCCCUGGGUCUCUGUUUCCCUAUUUAUAAAAUGAAGGGAUUGGACUAGCGCUAUCUAAGACCUAGUCUAGCUCCAAGUAUCUGAACACCAUGUUUGUGCUGUCUGCAGGACAAAGCCACGCCCAGGGCAGGCUCCUAGGAUUCCCCAAGUCAGUCCCUGGUCCUGAGAGAGACUGAGCCCGGGAAGCAGCUGUGUCAGGAAGCCAGAUGGAGCAGCCUCAGGGGACCAGCCACCUAGAACCCAGGGAUAGCACUUACUCGUCCAGGCAGCAUCUGCCGAGUCUCUCUCAGCCUUCCCUCACCUCCAUCUGGUCAUCUCCCUCUUCCUCCUCCAUUCACUGUCAGCCUCCAAAACUAGGGUGCAUAGAUCACAGACCCCAAAAAGAUGAUGCUGAAGACAAGAUGGUCAAACCCUCAGUGCCUUUGGAACUGACUGGGAUAUGCCAAGUUGAAGUUCUCCUACCUAACUUUCAAGAGGUUCCCAAGAGAAAAGUCAAGGCUACUAUCAGUGUGGAAUGGAAAAAGACAGCUAGGUUCAAACCCACUUGGUCCCAAAGGCUUUGGGGCACCUGGGUCCAGCCAUGAGCCAAGUCCCCAAGACUCCUUCCCUGUCUCCACUCCAACCCUCCCAAACUAGGAAGAACCCUUAGCUCCUGAUAGGGAGCCAAGUAAGGCACAUGAAAUAAAGCGGGGCCCCUUGUAAGGCAUGGCCUCUUCUGCCAACUCAUCUCCAACUGCUCUGACAUAUGGAGCUUGUAUAGUAUAGCAGGGUAGCCUCCCUUCAUUCAGGACCCUGGGCUUUGAUCCUGUAUUUGACCGUCCCUGGGUGAUCCGAGGCUCAGCCAUCCCCUCGGCUCCCUGAGCAUCAGUUUGCUCAUGUGUAAGACAAGACUUCCAUUCCCUCUCUUCUCACGGAGCUGUUGUACAGAAAGUGCUUUGUAGACUUUAAAGCAUGAACAGAAAUAGGAAAUGACUAUUAUCAGAACUGCUCAGAUGGGGGUGCUCAAAGGGUUUUUUAGUGGAGAAACAAUCUGGGAGCCUUUUCACGGAGGUUUUCUCCCACAGGUUCCCUUUAAAGCUAAGCAGACUGCCUGUCCCCAACCCCACAACUGAGAGGAAGUGAGCCCAAUGAGAGGCUUGUCAAGUGCCCAGCUAGGUCUAAGUUUACCCAUCACCCCAGCAGAGUGAAAAGAUUACUGGACCAAGGGUCAGAAGACUUAGGUUCAAAAGCUACUCUUACUACAGUGUCAUCUGUGUGUGUGCACCCGCACUUGUGUGGCAACAGACAAGUCCUUUCCCCUCUCUGGGACUCAGCUGCCUCAGCUGUAAAAGACGUGGGGACCAGAUGAUUUGGUUUACUUUUGAUUCUCAAUUCCAUCACUCUAAAAUUGAGGAAGGAGGAGGGGGAAGGGAAGGAACUUCACUUGGUCCAGCAGGCCCUUCAGCUCCCAGAGCAAGGCAGAGUUCUGACUAAAGACAUGGUAAUGGCCCAGGCUGAGACAACCCAGGGGACCCGAAGGCUGGUCAUUUCACCCCAUGGAAAGCAGAGGAUCCAGCUGGUGGCAGGAUUCAGAGCAUGUGGCAGCCAACCCUGUCCUAACAGGCAGUGAUGGAGGAGGGGACAGAGGCCAAGUGUUUCGGUUCCAGUCCAAGAGGUGCUUCUUGCAGCCACGACACCUGCUCAGCCCCAUUACUGGGAAGAGGAGCAGGCAGAAGAGCCUGAAGGUUUUCCCCAGGGCAGUGACACAGUUUGGAAGGCAAGCCCCAGUUUUGUGGAGAGCCAGUUCUUUUCCCGGGUGCAGUGUGACAAGGCCGGCCAAAAUCAUCCUCACCUGUCUACCUGGCACACACCUGAUCCAUAAUGGGCUUGGCCUAGGCUGCCCAGGGCCUGCUGUCAAGUGAAGCUCCAAAGACCCACAGAAGAGCCUGUGGCUGUGCACAUCCU
Long non-coding RNA from Dromiciops gliroides (monito del monte), 2157 nucleotides. RefSeq lists it as uncharacterized. NCBI's taxonomy places the organism in Eukaryota, Metazoa, Chordata, Mammalia, Microbiotheria, Microbiotheriidae. The transcript has 3 exons. The record is from RefSeq and is a predicted model, not a curated record.